RNAcentral lists this ribosomal RNA (468 nucleotides) under uncultured bacterium. RNAcentral describes it as "partial 16S ribosomal RNA". It matches the Rfam family "Bacterial small subunit ribosomal RNA", at positions 28 to 507 of the family's 1533-position model. The record is from RNAcentral.
GACGAACGCUGGCGGCGUGCUUAACACAUGCAAGUCGAACGGAAAGGCCCUGCUUUUGUGGGGUGCUCGAGUGGCGAACGGGUGAGUAACACGUGAGUAACCUGCCCUUGACUUUGGGAUAACUUCAGGAAACUGGGGCUAAUACCGGAUAGGAGCUCCUGCUGCAUGGUGGGGGUUGGAAAGUUUCGGCGGUUGGGGAUGGACUCGCGGCUUAUCAGCUUGUUGGUGGGGUAGUGGCUUACCAAGGCUUUGACGGGUAGCCGGCCUGAGAGGGUGACCGGCCACAUUGGGACUGAGAUACGGCCCAGACUCCUACGGGAGGCAGCAGUAGGGAAUAUUGCACAAUGGGCGGAAGCCUGAUGCAGCAACGCCGCGUGCGGGAUGACGGCCUUCGGGUUGUAAACCGCUUUCGCCUGUGACGAAGCGUGAGUGACGGUAAUGGGUAAAGAAGCAUCGGCUAACUACGUG